CCUACGGGAGGCAGCAGUGAGGAAUAUUGGUCAAUGGCCGGAAGGCUGAACCAGCCAUGCCGCGUGAAGGUCAGUGCCCUACGGGCGUUAAACCUCUUUUGUGCGGGAGCAAUAAUGGGCACGUGUGGCCAGACGAGAGUACCGUACGAAUACGCAUCGCCUAAAUCCGUGCCAGCAGGCGCGGGAAUGCGGGGGAUGCAAGCGUUAUCCGGAUUUUUUGGGGUUAAAGGGUGCGUAAGAUGUGAGGUAAGUCAGCGGUUGAAUGCCCCCGCUCAACGGGGUGAAGUGCCAUUGAUACUGCGUAGCUGGAGUGCGGAUGCGGUAGGAGGAAUGUGUGGUGUAGCGGUGAAAUGCAUAGAUAUCA
This 364-nucleotide ribosomal RNA is filed under the name uncultured bacterium. Its description in RNAcentral is "partial 16S ribosomal RNA". It matches the Rfam family "Bacterial small subunit ribosomal RNA", at positions 338 to 699 of the family's 1533-position model. The record is from RNAcentral.